Molecule: non-coding RNA, 1431 nt
Organism: Vicugna pacos (alpaca)
Lineage: Eukaryota; Metazoa; Chordata; Mammalia; Artiodactyla; Camelidae
Source: RefSeq, a predicted model, not a curated record
CAAUUGCUGGUAAACUAUAUAGGGGGGAGGAGGGCAGGGGAAGUCUCAUUGGCCAGUCAGCAGUCUCUGGGGAUGCAAGGGACCAGUGUCGUGGCGGUUUCUAAGGUGGCCAGGCCAACACAGCUGCCUCCUUGGCUCUUCAGCUGUGGGCUCCUCAUAUGGACACUUUCAAAUCUCCCGUCCCUCUUCCCUCAGUCCCAGAGCCUCAUGCAUACGGCCCACCUCCUGUCUAUCCCCCUGUGCUCAGCCCCCCUCCCCCCUCCCCCUGCAGGUCCCUGUGCCCAGUGCCUCUGGCCUACGGGUCCUGAUCACCAUCUGGGCCAUCAACCACCUAAGGCCCACAGGCCAGUGAUGGGCAACCAGGGACCACCCUGACCCGCCAGCUCAGACGAGGCACAGGGCGCCCGGGAAUUGGAACCGCUUCCAGCCAGGCCACUGGAGCCCUGUGGUCUCUGAAACUAGCUGUACCGGAUCCUGACAUUGUACUGUACCCGCUGGGGGCCGUCCUAUAGUGACCUGAGCCCGGACUUCCCUGCCCCACCUGAGGGUGAGAGGUCCUACACAGCAGGAGCCCCAGCCGGAGUGCGGGCUGCCGGAGGGAGGAGGAGGGGCGCGCCUGCGCCGACACACAGACGCGCGGACGCGGGAGCCAACCCAGAGGUUGUGGAAGCCGAGUGGGAGCUGGAUUCUCCUGGGCCAGCUCCCGAAGAAGGCGGCCUGGGGAAUGGGCUGCCGCUUGACGUCGCCUCCGCCUCCGCCGCCGCCGCCGGGCAGGUAAGGGGGCGCUGGUGGAGGCGUGCAGGUCGCGGAGCGGCGGCGGGUGAGGCCUGGGCUGCGCAGUUGGGCGUGGGUGAGGCCCAGGCCGCGGCGCCUUUCAGGACCCUGAGGCGGGCGGCCCCCCUCCUUAGUAGUCCCUGAACCCCGCGUCUGCGCUGGUUUUUGUAUUUGGGUUUGGGAAAGCAGGGCACCCCCGGGAGGGGGAAAGCUGCCGGACGGCCCCGGAACACCUCGGACCGGCCCUUAGGUCAUGGUCUGUUCCCGGGAGGCGGGUGCUGUGCGGUGCGGUCGCGGGGCCUCAGCGGCGGCCGCGAUGGUACAGACUGACCCGUGCGAGUCCCUGAAUUUGCUCCCUAUUCCCCCACUGCUUGGGGCGGCCUUUGCUUGCCCAUGUACGCGGGGUGCACGUUCACCGGUCAGCCUGCUCCUGGGAGGCCGACGCGUUGCUGUCAGGGUGCGGGGGUGGCGGCAGCAUUAGCGGCAGCAGCGGGGAGAGGGGUGUGCUCCUGGGAGUCUGUCGAUUUGCUCCCAUCUCCCCCGCGUCCUGUCCUGGGGGCGGACUCUGCUGCCCCAGGUUCGCAGGACGCACGUUACAGGUCAGUCAGCUUCUGGGAGGCGGGCGCGGUGCGGUAGUGUGCAGGGGUGACGGCAGCG